GUUGUCCUAAUAACCAAAGAGUGUGGAGACACUGGUAUGGCAUACAGGUGAGAUGUAAUGGUACAUCUGCACUGAAUGUGACCAACUCUGGAGCUAUUUCUGCUGUCAAGAUUUACUCCAAUGGGAUAUGGGUAUAAAUAUCCCUCUGACCUGAGACCGCCACGGUGACUUGCAAGCAACUCACUGCACUUAGGCACUGGACUACCUGAAUUUUUAAUUCAAUGACGGAAGGCUGCUGGGUGUAGUCAAGUACUUGACUUGUCGGUGCAUGUGUCAAGAUGGGAUUGACCACUCCAGUUUAGGAGCUGUGUACAGUCGUGUUUCAAUUUAGCAAAACCUUGGCUAGGGUAGUCCUAGUGAGGAGUCAUAGGACUAAUUGAGUUGAGCAUAAUUCGGAUGAUAUCAUCAGGGUUGACAGUUUAACCCUGAGUCAUCCUAAACAUAGGGGUCAAAAGGGAUGAAUUAUACGGUAACCAUAUUCACGUAGGUUCUGAAUGUUGCGAUUGUGAUUAUUCGACCU
RNAcentral lists this long non-coding RNA (520 nucleotides) under Elaeis guineensis (African oil palm). Its description in RNAcentral is "long non-coding RNA (EGUI_LNC063641)". The record is from RNAcentral. Lineage: Eukaryota; Viridiplantae; Streptophyta; Magnoliopsida; Arecales; Arecaceae.